AAGUCGUAACAAGGUUUCCGUAGGUGAACCUGCGGAAGGAUCAUUACCAAAGUAAAUUCACUUACCACUUGUGAACCGAGUCUAAGUCCUUGGGGGAGAUGUGAAAUUUGAAGGGAAAAUGUGUGUUGCGAGGGGUUCUCCCCCCCCGCUCCCCACGUUCUCCCAUCUCUUUUCCUCUCCCCCAGCGGGGUGCCCGCCAUGCGCUUGCGUUCGGUGGUCUACAUCUUGCAAAUGUAUUUAAACCACAUGUGUUCAGUUUAAAUUGGUUGUAUAGUAUACCUUUUCUCUUUUUGAGAAAUCAAAAAGUAAUGACAACUUUUAACGGUGGAUCUCUUGGCUCGU
This 342-nucleotide unclassified non-coding RNA is filed under the name fungal sp. RNAcentral's name for it is "partial internal transcribed spacer region". The stretch from base 1 to 46 matches the Rfam family "Eukaryotic small subunit ribosomal RNA", at positions 1786 to 1831 of the family's 1831-position model. The record is from RNAcentral. Lineage: Eukaryota; Fungi.